This 574-nucleotide ribosomal RNA is filed under the name Rhodotorula mucilaginosa. Its description in RNAcentral is "partial large subunit ribosomal RNA". It matches the Rfam family "Eukaryotic large subunit ribosomal RNA", at positions 78 to 668 of the family's 3401-position model. The record is from RNAcentral. Lineage: Eukaryota; Fungi; Basidiomycota; Microbotryomycetes; Sporidiobolales; Sporidiobolaceae.
CCCUAGUAGCGGCGAGCGAAGCGGGAAGAGCUCAAAUUUAUAAUCUGGCACCUUCGGUGUCCGAGUUGUAAUCUCUAGAAAUGUUUUCCGCGCUGGACCGCACACAAGUCUGUUGGAAUACAGCGGCAUAGUGGUGAGACCCCCGUAUAUGGUGCGGACGCCCAGCGCUUUGUGAUACAUUUUCGAAGAGUCGAGUUGUUUGGGAAUGCAGCUCAAAUUGGGUGGUAAAUUCCAUCUAAAGCUAAAUAUUGGCGAGAGACCGAUAGCGAACAAGUACCGUGAGGGAAAGAUGAAAAGCACUUUGGAAAGAGAGUUAACAGUACGUGAAAUUGUUGGAAGGGAAACGCUUGAAGUCAGACUUGCUUGCCGAGCAAUCGGUUUGCAGGCCAGCAUCAGUUUUCCGGGAUGGAUAAUGGUAGAGAGAAGGUAGCAGUUUCGGCUGUGUUAUAGCUCUCUGCUGGAUACAUCUUGGGGGACUGAGGAACGCAGUGUGCCUUUGGCGGGGGUUUCGACCUCUUCACACUUAGGAUGCUGGUGGAAUGGCUUUAAACGACCCGUCUUGAAACACGGACCA